AGGUUCAGCUGUAGCAUGAG
Molecule: non-coding RNA, 20 nt
Filed under: Mus musculus (house mouse)
Lineage: Eukaryota; Metazoa; Chordata; Mammalia; Rodentia; Muridae
Source: RNAcentral